Molecule: unclassified non-coding RNA, 348 nt
Filed under: soil metagenome
Description: partial contains 5.8S ribosomal RNA, internal transcribed spacer 2, and large subunit ribosomal RNA
Rfam family: 5.8S ribosomal RNA (bases 1-120)
Source: RNAcentral
GAUGAAGAACGUAGUGAAAUGCGAUAAGUAAUGUGAAUUGCAGAAUUCAGUGAAUCAUCGAAUCUUUGAACGCACAUUGCGCCCGCCAGUAUUCUGGCGGGCAUGCCUGUCUGAGCGUCAUUUCAACCCUCAUGCCCCUAGGGCGUGGUGUUGGGGAUCGGCCAAAGCCCGCGAGGGACGGCCGGCCCCUAAAUCUAGUGGCGGACCCGUCGUGGCCUCCUCUGCGAAGUAGUGAUAUUCCGCAUCGGAGAGCGAUGAGCCCCUGCCGUUAAACCCCCAACUUUCCAAGGUUGACCUCAGAUCAGGUAGGAGUACCCGCUGAACUUAAGCAUAUCAAUAAGCGGAGGA